RNAcentral lists this non-coding RNA (148 nucleotides) under Nomascus leucogenys (northern white-cheeked gibbon). Lineage: Eukaryota; Metazoa; Chordata; Mammalia; Primates; Hylobatidae. The record is from Rfam by way of RNAcentral.
GCUGGGCGUGGUGGUGCACACCUGUAAUCCCAGCUACUCGGGAGGCUGAGGCAGGAGAAUCGCUUGAACCCAGGAGGCAGAGGUUGUAGUGAGCCAAGAUUGCACCACUGCACUCCAGCCUGGGUGACAAAGCAAGAUUCUGUUUCAA